UUACCUCUUCCUAUUAUAGCAACCAUCAUUAUCAUCUUCAUCAGAUUCAAGCCUUCGUUAUUGUCGUCGAAUAAGAAAGCUAUCCUCAUACCAGCACAUGAACUGUUUCUUCUCCUUUUUCAUUUCACUUUUAUGAAGUAAACCUAGAUUCAAAGCUUUUCUUCCCCUUCAAAAUCUUUAACCCGAUCUGGAUUGUUUAGAUAAACACAAAAACACAAUCUCUAGGACUCAAGUUAGCAGUACAGAGAGAGGGCAGUGCUAUUAUGAUUUCUUAGACUCCCUAAAAUUAAAUCUCCACUGAAAACCCUAGAUUUGGUCAUGAACAGAUUGAAAACUUCAUCUUCUUCUCGUUGAAUGAUUUUUUAUCUACCAUUUCAUCUUCUUCGUUGUGGAUUCCGCGAAUCAACAUCACAUGAAUAUCAGUUCUAAUGGGUUUAAGAGAUUGGGUUUUCCCCAAUUUUGAGUCCACAGUUAGGGUUACAGGGCUGCGAAGAUGAUGGAGUUGAUAUGGAGUUAUAGGAACAGGAAUUUGUGGUAUCUGAUGAUGAUGUAUGAAGUUGUUUAUGGUCCUGCUUGAUGCUGAUGGGAAAAUGGCAUAACAUAUUUCCAAUUUUUUAUGAGCAUCCUACAAACAUAAUUGGACUAAUUUUGGUAAUCUCUAACCUUUCUAAAUGUUCUAACGAUUGCAUCUUUUUAAGUUAUAGAGAUUUUGUUAAAUCUGGUGUUUGUUUUUGAUGGGUUGAGUGUGUUAGAGGUGAUUAGUUUGACAUUUCAAUAUGAUAUUUGAUGGGUUUUUGUUUUUAGAGAAGUGGGUUUUUAAUGCAUUUGCUAAUAUGAUUUUUCCUGAUGGAUUAAUUGAAAUUUUAGGGAAAAAUAUGUGUCUAUCUAGUGUGGAUUUUAGGUUGAAAUUUUGGGUUUGAUUUUAAUGGGAUUCUAAAAAUUGGUAUUCAUUGAUAAUUCUAUAUCAUGCUUUGAUUCAAUAUCUGUGAUUUCUGUUUUAGACUACUGCUAGUGUUUAAUUGAGAUUUUGUCAGUGGAUAUUUGAUUGGUUAGUUGAUUUGCUUGUAGAGACAAGGCUGUGGUGGUUAUAUGGAUCGGACAACGAUUGUUUGAUUGAAUGUUUUAUGAAUUUCGCGAAGGUAUUUGUAUUGUUCAUACAGGAUAACAAUAUUGAAUUCUGGAGAAAUUUUUGGCCGAGUACUUAUCUUCUCGUGCUAAGAAGAGGUGGUGCGUUUCUAUGUAUGGAAGUGGCCGACAAAUAACUGGAGUUUUUUCUCAUGUAUGCUCUAGAGACUCUUUUGCAUACUUGUUGUGCAAAGCAUUUUUGUCAUGGUCUACUCUUAGUUUUAACAAAAUAAAGUGAUAUUAGUAGUAGGUUAUUCGAUUUUUAGCCAAAUAAGGUUGACUUGCUGAUGACCUUUUUCCCCUGUACCCCAUGUUAAAAAGUUUUGGUUCAAGCUUAUUCCUGCUUUUCUCAUGUUUAAGGGUGCUCGGACUUUUAUAUCUUGGUCUCGAGCUUCUCUUAAAUACAUCAUUUUGGCACUCUCUGGAAAUAUGGAUGAUGUACUAGCUGCAUAUAAGGCUGAUAUCUGGGAUGAAUCAGCAUACGGUGAAUAUUUCCUCGCAGUUUCACCGGUUAGAAAGAUGGGCAUGAGAAGAUGUCUAAAAGCGAUGUUUCAUCCGCCAUCCUUAUCGAAUAUGAUGAGGAAGUUGAUUUUCCGAGUAUCUCCUUGCAAAGGAUUGCAUUAUCAUUUAGUCCACUAACGAAUUGCAGAAACGGAGUUUGAAGCUGCUCUGGUUGCGGCUUUCAGGAGGGAAAAGGAGGAUCAAAUAGAAAUGCAGUUACUGGCUGCUGAAAUUCAGGCAGCAAUGCAAUUGGCCAAACGAAGGGAAGAUGAAAUUAAAAAUCUGAAAAAUGCUGCUUUGAUUUCGCGAGGCCAGAAUCAAAAGGUUGGAGGAAGUUGCAUCUGGGAAGAUCUCAACUGAGGUGCAUCUCUUACAGGAAAAAAAGGAAUAUCUGAAAGAGGUGGAAUUACAGUCCUUGGAGUGAAGCUCCAUAUAAGGAUUUGCAGAGAAGACUGCAUUAGGAGGGUUAUCCUUUGAUGGAUUCUUGGCACCGAUACCAAGGAGACAUUGCCUCUGUCCUGCGCAUAACCAGACGAAGAAGGUUAGAUCGCAAGAAGCAACAAUCAGAUAUAAAUGUUUUCUAGUGCUUCAUCUUUGGACUUAAAGGUGCUGGGAGGUCAUCAUUGUUGAACUAUUUUCUUGGAAGUUACCAGUGUUGGAGACAUUGCGUUGUAGGAAGCUGGUCCAUGCUAGAGGUUGUUAAUCAUAUGCCAGAAAUUUUCGUUUCAAAUGUAGCCUAGUGUAUGUUUCUGAACCCGGG
Molecule: long non-coding RNA, 2386 nt
Organism: Papaver somniferum (opium poppy)
Lineage: Eukaryota; Viridiplantae; Streptophyta; Magnoliopsida; Ranunculales; Papaveraceae
Exons: 8
Source: RefSeq, a predicted model, not a curated record